Molecule: unclassified non-coding RNA, 1232 nt
Filed under: Hevea brasiliensis (rubber tree)
Lineage: Eukaryota; Viridiplantae; Streptophyta; Magnoliopsida; Malpighiales; Euphorbiaceae
Source: RNAcentral
UUUUUUUUUUUUUUUUUUUAUCUGCUUCUUCAUUUCUCACUUGAGGAGGCCAGUCUCUGUGUGAUUGCCAUUCAGUAGCAUCUACCUCCAUCUAGACAAGGGGAACCUCCUCCCUUAUCUAGGACGUGGGUUGUGCCCUUCCCUCUUCUAGAUGGGGUUUUAUUUAUAAAUACGAUUAUGAAUGGAGUUUUUUGGUGCUAGACCAGUGCUGAUUGGUGAGGACAUCAUGUUGGUCAAAUCUGUUGGUUUGUGUUACUUUGGUUAGAUUUGUUACAUGCAGGUGAUUACUCCAUAUGUGUUAUGUUUUAGCUUUAGGAGAGGAAAAUGUUUUUGUAGAUGAUGGCAUCUCAAGGGUCCUUAGUCGGCUUCGGCUUCAUGGUUGACUCUCAAGGCUGUUAUUGCCGUUUCUAGGUUUCAAGCCCUGCCUUGUCACUCUCUACAGGUUGUUAACCUUGCCUACAAUGGUGAUCUGGGUUAUAUGGUCUUAUUGGCUCUGGUGUUUCAUGUCUCUUUUCUGUUGGGUUGCCUAAUCUUGCCAUUUGUGGGUUUGUCGACUGGGUAGUGGCUCUGGUAGGACUUCCUCAGGCAUCGUCCCAUUUUCUCGUCCUGGAAGAGCUUCGCCCCUAUGCUUCACUUGAUCUCUGUUUAUUCCCUGAAUGGCGCUGCAACAUUGAGUUUGUAGUUUUGUCCAUUUUCAUUUGGGCUACCGAAUAGAUUAGUUUUUAGUUAUUUAAUGGGACUUGGGCUCUUAUGUAUUAGGUUAGCUUGGGCUAGUUUUCAUUGUAUUGUUACUUUAUAACCAUUUUUUUUAUCAAUGAAACUCGAACUUUUGAUGAGACAAAAUUUAAUAAUUAAAAAAAAAGAUGGCACUUAAAUUUUUAAAAGAUAGAGAAAACAAAUUACAAUGUGAAACAUGUACUAUAUUAUUGGAAUUAGAAAAAUAUUAUGAAUUAAUUUUGAAGAAUUAAUUUUCAAAUUAAACAGUUUUUAAGUUCUAGCAGUUGAUUGAUUAAAGGAGCGGAAAAAAGAAGAUCUAAUCUGAUUCAUGUAUGCUCAAGUUUAUUGUUAAUCUAGAUUGAUAUUGAUAAGAAAUUUAUGAAUGAUAGAAAAAUUAAGGAUCCAUGAUUUAUAACAAAUUGAGAAUAUAAACACCUAGUAUAGUCACUAAUAACCCACUUGUGUUUGAUUAAUUAAAUAUUUAAUUUUGGCUAAAAGUUAAAUUUCACCUAUGU